Molecule: long non-coding RNA, 1676 nt
Filed under: Capsicum annuum
Lineage: Eukaryota; Viridiplantae; Streptophyta; Magnoliopsida; Solanales; Solanaceae
Description: long non-coding RNA (CANN_LNC017685)
Source: RNAcentral
GAAUUUCAUCACUUGACCUUUCAAAUUCACAGCACCACUUCACCAAACUUCCAUCUCCCUUUGGAGUAACAGAAAGGCUGCCUUUGAAACUCUUGUAGUAUUUCAAGGUUUCACCAUCAAUGACUGAGUAAACUAGUGUUCUGUUUGCAUCAUCAACUGACUCUAUUUUCUCUUUUGAGUAUGUCACCAAUGGGGACCCUAUGAAAUGAACAGGACAAAAGAACAGAGUUACGAUGUCAUUUCUGUUUAAUUUUCAGAUGAGACAUUUAAUUUGUGAUCCUAGAUAGAUUCCAUAUCGACUUGUGAAUGAAGAGUUCCCUUUUGAAAGGGAUUUCACUUAUUAUCUGCUAUUAUCAUAAUAUCAUAAAAAAUAUUUCACUUCAUCAUUAUAUAAAAGUUAAACUCUUUAGGGACCACUCGUGCUCCUUACUACACCUUUAGGGGUCGUUUGGUAGAGUGCAUAAGAAUAAUACAAAAUAUGAUGUAUUAGUAAUGCUUGUGUUAGUAAUGUUUGUGUUAACCAUGCUUGCAUUAGUUAUACUUGUAUUUUUCUUAUGCAUUGUUUGGUUUAAUAUAUUAAAAAUAACAUGAAUUACAUAAUUUUUAAACAAAUAUUUUUUUUUUUACACAAUACCCACCAUAUAAUGUUGGAAAGGAUGCGAAAAUAUCUUUUGAGAGAAAAUAGUGUCUUUAAUCAUGUUAAUGCAUGCAUUGGAUCCAUUACAUUGCUAAUACCAUGGAUUUUGAGGUAUUAGUAAUACACACCUUAAUACACAAUAGAGUGUAUAACUAAUGCAAACAUUAGUUAUACAUAGGGCAAAGAAAUAUACCAAACAAGGUAUUAAUAAUACUCAUUAAACUAAUAAAUGUAUUAACUUCCAAUACACUCUACCAAACGACCCCUUAAGGGGUCGGUUGUUACGAUAUCCCAUGCGGUGGGAUAUCUCAUGAGAUUAACUAUCUCAUCUUCUAUAUGGGGUAACAAUUUUAUUAUUUUAGAAGAAAAUUGUCUCAGAAUAAGUUAAUAUCCCAAAUUAAACACGAGAUAAAAUUAAUCCCAAAGUUUAGAUAGAAAUUAUUAUCCUUAUCCCAUGUACCAAACCAUCCCAUAGUUCCUUUAACUACUUUUUAGAGCCAACAAAAUGUGAAAAUCUAUUCACUUGAAAAGUAGUGUUCCAACAUGUUAAUUUGGGGACAAAAUUAAAAACGUAGUCCCUAAUAUUGUUUUAGGGACCAUAGUACUAGUCACUAAAACCCUUUAAGCUAAGGACCAAUUAUUAAACCUUACAUAUUGUCAUCGUCUUUUAGUGGUGAAACCUAUAAAGAUAGGUGACAAUCAAAAUUUUCUGGUCUCUGCUGACUUCUUGAGACUAGUUUUCCGUUGCUAAUGACCAUUUUUCUUGUAGCGAUCAAGUAACCAUUCGUAAAAAGGGAAAUAUUUUGUUACGGUAUAGGUUAAAACAUUAGGAAACAUUAAUGCAUGAACUAGGUUAUUAGUUUUGUUUACCUUCAGCAUACUUGAUCAAGCGAACAGAACCAACAGACUUGUCAUCACCUUCAACAACUUCAAUACUCUUGUACUGCUUAGGGAAAGCCUUAGGGAAGAGAUUUGUAGAGUCCCUAAUGCCAUUCCAAAACUUAUCUGCUCCACUUUGCACCUCAACUUCAACCUCAAU